Molecule: long non-coding RNA, 1335 nt
Organism: Lathyrus oleraceus (garden pea)
Lineage: Eukaryota; Viridiplantae; Streptophyta; Magnoliopsida; Fabales; Fabaceae
Exons: 3
Source: RefSeq, a predicted model, not a curated record
GAUGAAUUUUUGUGGUAUAUGAAAAAGGUGAGGGGAUUAACAUGUGGAGGUCAUGAGUUACAGAAAAAUCAUAUUUUUUUCAAUGAAUCUUCAUAUUUCUCAUUGGCGGCUUUAAAGUUGAGAGAGAAAGAUAUGGGAAAAUUGCGUCGUUUUCAAUUAUUGGUCUAGGUUUUUUUUUCACUCAAACAUUGGUCAUGGGUAUAUAUAGCAUUAGGGCUGGACAAGGAUCCGAAGCCCGGUCCAAAACGUAGAAAACCGGAGAAAAAAAAGGAAUUGGGCGGGUUAAGAUGGGUUAGCGGUUAAACGGAUUUAACUAAUGGGUUAAACCGGUUCUUAAUGGGCGGGUCCGGGUAGGUUUUAGUGAACCGCGGGUACUCUGACCGGCCCGGUUGAGAGACCUAGGAAAAACUGUGUCGUUUUGAACUAGGGUUUACCACUCUCUCAUUCUGUUUGUUCUCUCCUUCACUCCUCAGCCGCACACCAUCAUCACUCACCAACCCUAGCUUCAACUCUCACCAUCCAGCAUAGAUACACCAUUACUCACCACCCAUUAUCAUUAACUACCAUCAAACGAAGUUGCAGUGUUCGUUCAAAUCAACUCUCACACCAUAAAACCUUAUCUUCAGCUCUCGCCACCCACCACUAGUUCACCAUUAGAAUGAGUUUCGAAGGAUCUAGCCUUGUUGAUACUUGGAAAGCUUGAGUUCGCUCUUCAUUCUUUUCGUGUUUUGUCCAUCAUACGAAGUUUUGUUAAUUCAUCUUCAACUCUCCUCUCACAGCAUCCGGAAGUUUGAUACCUGGAAAAAUUGCAAAUGGAUCAACGUCAAAGUAGCAUGGAAAGAGUCUUAGAGCAAGAGCAAUGCAAUUGUAAGUGUAUUUGACUUCAUGUCUUUGAAAUGUAUGCUAAUUGGGACUGUAUGUGUUGUAUGCAUAUGAAUUUGGGCUGAAUUGUGACUAUUUUUAACUGAUUUUCAAAUUGAUUUAAAACCAAUUAGUAGUGUAUGAGAUUGUUUGAAAUGUAUGUUAAUUGGGUUUAUUUGUAUGUGUUGUGUGCAUAUGAAUUGGGACUGUUUUAAACUGAUUCUCAAAGUGUAGAUGAACAAGCCAGUAGAUUGGAUGAAGUUGUAGGAUUUGAAUACAAUUAUUGGAAUUAUUUCAUGCUAAUGAUCAUUUUCUAUGUCAAGAAUAUGUUGUAUACUUAAUCCCAUUUUUAUCUCAUUUAACAUGUUUGCGAGCAUGGUGAAUGAGAAGAUCCAAGAUACUCACCAAAACCUCAAAUAGCAUGUUGAUACAAUAAUAUUUAGCUUAUUGAAUUUAAUUCUGAAAAUUAGAAGC